GACGAACGCUGGCGGCGUGCUUAACACAUGCAAGUCGAACGGAAAGGCCCCCUUGUGGGGUACUCGAGUGGCGAACGGGUGAGUAACACGUGAGUAACCUACCCUUGACUUUGGGAUAACUUCAGGAAACUGGGGCUAAUACCGGAUAGGAGUUCCUGCUGCAUGGUGGGGGUUGGAAAGUUUCGGCGGUUGGGGAUGGACUCGCGGCUUAUCAGCUUGUUGGUGGGGUAGUGGCUCACCAAGGCUUUGACGGGUAGCCGGCCUGAGAGGGUGACCGGCCACAUUGGGACUGAGAUACGGCCCAGACUCCUACGGGAGGCAGCAGUGGGGAAUAUUGCACAAUGGGCGGAAGCCUGAUGCAGCAACGCCGCGUGCGGGAUGACGGCCUUCGGGUUGUAAACCGCUUUCGCCUGUGACGAAGCGUGAGUGACGGUAAUGGGUAAAGAAGCACCGGCUAACUACGUG
RNAcentral lists this ribosomal RNA (465 nucleotides) under uncultured bacterium. RNAcentral describes it as "partial 16S ribosomal RNA". It matches the Rfam family "Bacterial small subunit ribosomal RNA", at positions 28 to 507 of the family's 1533-position model. The record is from RNAcentral.